Molecule: small nucleolar RNA, 81 nt
Filed under: Zea mays
Lineage: Eukaryota; Viridiplantae; Streptophyta; Magnoliopsida; Poales; Poaceae
Description: Small nucleolar RNA Z199
Rfam family: Small nucleolar RNA Z199
About the family: snoZ199 is a C/D box small nucleolar RNA, which acts as a methylation guide RNA for sites on 18S and 25S rRNA. Rice snoZ199 is reported to be homologous to Arabidopsis snoR13.
Source: Rfam by way of RNAcentral
GGUCAGAUGAAGAGUAUAAAACUGCAACAAUAUGAUGGGAUUGCUUUCCUGUGAUUCCCUUGUUUUAAGUCUCUGAUGACC